GACCUCCCAUCACGGUACCCUCGGGACCCGGACCGCAAGAGCUGUCGGCCCCAGUUUCCCUCCCGGAAGUGGCGCGGGGGUGACUCUCGCCGUUUCCGCCGCCGAGGGGGCGGGGCUGGGGCUGCCCUGCCUUUGCGGUCGCGGUCGCGGGCUGAUGACGCAGGGCGCCGCGUGCUCCCCCACGUGUGCUGCAGUUCUCCCGGCGUCUGCGGGGCUGCCGCUUCGGCUUUCCCCGGGGGCGUAGUUGCUGGCGCUUGCCGCGCGCGACCUCCGCGGCUCGGGGGNUGGAGGUGGCGGCUGCCCCGCUGCGCUUACUCGCUGCCAAGAACGAGAAGAGCCGUAGCGAACUGGGCAGGUUCUUGGCCAAACAGUUCGGGCCCGCAGACACGUAUUGACUGCGUUCCUGCUUCACGGGAGGCAGCCGUGCGCUUCUGUGAGGACACGGAGACAUCCGUGACGGUCUCUGCCCGCAGCGGACUAACUACAGCGUCUGUUUUUGGAGACAGUCGGUCAACACAGAAAACAGCCGAAGGACGAAGCAAGACAGCGAGUACGAACUGUGACGACAUUGACCAUAUGCGUUAGGAGGUGAAUUAGAGUCUUCUAGGAAGUGGGUGUUUGGCCUUUUAAGAGCCUUCUCUGGACUCCCUGCUGUCUGAGUGGAGGACCUUUAUCAUGCAUUUUUUUUUCACGUUGCAUUUUAAUUUCCCUUUUUUAAGGUUCCCCACCCCCAAUAUCUUGGAGCUUCUUGAGAGUAGAAAAUGUGGGUUUUUUUUUUUUUUUCCCUUCUAACUCCAGCAUCUAACUUAAGUCAUUCAUGCGUUGUACACAUACACAUGGCAUUGCUUAGGGAGUAACGGGAGUAUUUUGGGUCUGGAGCAGCAGAGAAUUGACACGAGAGGCGUUUCUGUUUGGUGACAACAAAUUGAAAGUGUAAAGUUAAGGGACGGAGGAGUCAAGAUAGCCUGGAAUUUCUGGCUCCUGAGACCCAGUGAAGGGGAAUCCCUGAUCAAAUGGUGAGCUGUAGAAAGAGAACCGAGUUUUGAUGGGUUGGACUAAGGAAGAGAGAAUCCGUUCGCGUGAGCUGAGCUUUUCGUCACAGGCUCCUGAAUUAUGUUAUGUUACUAUGUUAUGUAUUGUCGCUAGAGGUGUUUUUCUGUAAGUGGGCUUUAGAAUUCAAAGCACAGGUUCUCAUUCCGGGGAUCAUGAACCAGCAACAGGAGAUUGAUGAUGUUUCCUCACUGCUGUUGUAAAAUGUAAAAUUGGUGUUUAUGUAUUGG
RNAcentral lists this long non-coding RNA (1280 nucleotides) under Vulpes vulpes (red fox). RNAcentral's name for it is "lncRNA (ENSVVUG00000001701.1)". Lineage: Eukaryota; Metazoa; Chordata; Mammalia; Carnivora; Canidae. The record is from RNAcentral.